UUGGUCAUUUAGAGGAAGUAAAAGUCGUAACAAGGUUUCCGUAGGUGAACCUGCGGAAGGAUCAUUAAAAAAUAAUCACAGUUUUGUGAUUUUAAUAAUCAUCCUACCCUUUGUGAAUUUGUUUUGUAAAGAAAAUUUAUGUUGUCUAUCCCUGGUGGUUUUUUUGGAAAAGUUGAAAAACUUUUUCGAAUCCCAGGGACUAGGCUUUCAUAGACCUUUUUUUAAAUUAAACUUUUUGUAUUCAUUUGUCUAAAUUUAUUUUUAAUAAUUUAAAAACAACUUUUGACAAUGGAUCUCUUGGUUCUCGCAACGAUGAAGAACGCAGCAAAAUGCGAUAAGUAAUGUGAAUUGCAGAAUACGUGAAUCAUCAAAUCUUCGAACGCAUAUUGCACUUUUCUAGUUUACUAGAAAAGUAUGUCUGUUUGAGUAUCAGUAAAAUAUUCUCAUAAAAAACAUUGUUUUUUAUGGUUAUGAGUGUUUUACAACGAUAAACAAGUUGUUUCACUUUAAAUUGAUUUUUAAAAGCCAAUUUGGUUUUAUCUAAUAAAAUUGGAUAAAAUUUUCCCGUAAAAAGGAAUAAACUUUUCAGUUUUAAAAGGUAAAACUUUUAAUUGAGCCUAAUUAAAAGGAAAUUUAACAAAAUAACUUGAUCUCAAAUCAGAUAAGAGUACCCGCUGAACUUAAGCAUAUCAAUAAGCGAAGA
RNAcentral lists this ribosomal RNA (703 nucleotides) under Orpinomyces sp. KF11. RNAcentral's name for it is "eukaryotic LSU rRNA". The stretch from base 278 to 432 matches the Rfam family "5.8S ribosomal RNA". Lineage: Eukaryota; Fungi; Neocallimastigomycota; Neocallimastigomycetes; Neocallimastigales; Neocallimastigaceae. The record is from RNAcentral.